CCCAGAAGUGGAGUUCCUUCCUAGGACGUGC
Molecule: non-coding RNA, 31 nt
Filed under: Homo sapiens (human)
Lineage: Eukaryota; Metazoa; Chordata; Mammalia; Primates; Hominidae
Source: RNAcentral